Molecule: long non-coding RNA, 797 nt
Organism: Herpailurus yagouaroundi (jaguarundi)
Lineage: Eukaryota; Metazoa; Chordata; Mammalia; Carnivora; Felidae
Exons: 3
Source: RefSeq, a predicted model, not a curated record
GGUCAGGAGGUCUUCUCAUGCCAUUCCUAGUCAAUAUCAAACCGGAAGACCUAACCAGUACGACAAGGAAAGAACGAGAAAUACAGAGUAGAAAGAGUUUAUAAUUAACAUCUUGUGAAGUUCACUGGAAGACGAGGAGACUGGCUCUGCUACGUCUGGGAAUGGCGAGGCAUCCAAAUGCUGAUCACCGCAUGCAAUUAAGUAGAGAGAAUGGCUGAAGAUCUUCAGGAUGUCCUUGGACAUUUGGAACACUGAGUAUUUUCGGUCAAUUCUAUUUAGAGAAAAUCGGAUGCUUAAUGACUGUGGUUUAGAGGUCCACAAUAAGACUAAUGGACUGAAAACCCAAGAGAAGUGCUCAUGGCAGGAAGAGCAUCAAGAGGAUAUAAAGUUAUGGAAAAUAAAUGAUGAUCCAUGUUACCACCAAUAGGCUCUCGUAUGAACCCAACCACCUGUGCAAGGUCAUUACUGCAACAGAGAACCAAGUCUGCUCCAGAGAGAAGAAGUGAGAGAGUGAAUACACACCUUGGAAGUGUCAGUGAUUAAUGCUGUCAACUGCACUGUGUCCCCUGAAGAGCCAAGGUGCGUAGGUCCGCCUGCCCUGUCUUCUGUGUCUCCCGUCGUGAACAGUUGGACGAUCCCAGGGAGAAGCGGUGUCUCCUAGUCUGUUGAAGCAAUCAGUGAAGUGAAUGAGUAAUGAGUGAGAGCACAUUAGUGCCAUUGGUGGUUAAUAAACUCAAUCGUCUUUGCUGCGUGCCCCUGAUUUCCACAGCUUGCUAAAUAAAAGUUUAUUUAUGGUC